Molecule: ribosomal RNA, 254 nt
Filed under: uncultured bacterium
Lineage: Bacteria
Description: partial 16S ribosomal RNA
Rfam family: Bacterial small subunit ribosomal RNA
Source: RNAcentral
UACGUAGGGCGCAAGCGUUGUUCGGAAUUACUGGGCGUAAAGCGCACGUAGGCGGCUUUGCAAGUUAGAGGUGAAAGCCCGGGGCUCAACUCCGGAAUUGCCUUUAAAACUGCAUCGCUAGAAUUGUGGAGAGGUAAGUGGAAUUCCGAGUGUAGAGGUGAAAUUCGUAGAUAUUCGGAAGAACACCAGUGGCGAAGGCGACUUACUGGACACAUAUUGACGCUGAGGUGCGAAAGCGUGGGGAGCAAACAGGG